ACAUAGCGCAAUUCCCCGUCUCCUCUCUUCCUCUUUUUCUCCGUCUCCUCUCUUCCUCUUUUCUCUCUCCCCGCCGCCACCGCACCAUAAUGCUCGUCGCAGUCGCUAGAGCGCGGGGUACUGCAUGAGCCCGCCGUCCUCGCUAGAGCGUAGGGAGCCACACGACCUCAGCGCCAUUCGACGGGCGUGCUGAGGAACAACCAGAAGAUGGCAACGUGAAUCGAGGGUAGGAAACAAUGACAACACUAGGAAGAGCAGGAAGUUGGUGACGGACUCGACAUUGAUUUUUGUGAAGAUGUGAAAUCAGAUUGUACUACUAAAGGAACUCUAUGGUGUGAAAUUCCUAUUUCGAUUUUCUAUUUGCUAAUGCUACUAAAGAUUGAGUUUUUGCCCGUAUAUGGCUGAAAUUUUCAUAGUGUACAUAAGGUUAGGUGAGAGUUCGUUUUUAAGAUGAAUAGAUAGAUACUACCUCUGUUCCAAGUUAUAAUAGAUAACCAUUGUCAAUCAUAAUUAACAUAUAAGCCUCCCUUGUUAAAUAUAAAUUUUAACUUCUUGGUGUAAAUUAAGGGUAGGAACUAUUAUUUUUAUAUUGGUAUUGCAUAAUUCAAUAGUGUGUUUGGUGAUCUGACAAUUUCAUAUUCUCUAUUUGAACCCAAGCCGUUAUGUUUAUAGCAGUUUUAUUAAUUCCAUGUUAUCCCCAUCUAAACUCUGUCAUCUAAGUAUGAAUUUCUAAUCACUGUCUGCAGGCUGCUGUUGGGGUUCUAAUGUUUGUACUGAUAGUCCUGGCAAUACUAAAACCAGGACACAAAAGAGCAUGACUAAGAAAAGCUUAGCCUUGCUGAAGAUUAUUUUCCUAUAAUUGUUUGUCAUGAUUAUCACAUGACAGACUUAUGUGCAUGCAGUGUGGUGGUUUACAUCUAGGACUCUGUGCGCCACCUUUCAAAAGAACAGCAAAGGAACUUUUCACUGAUGAAGAUACCAUAGGUGAUGAUGAUGAGUGUGUAGAUAGUACUGCUGUUGCAGAGCCAUCUGUGCUCCAAUUGAUAAUUUUUAAAUUCAUGCAACCACAAAUUAAACACUAAUCAGCGACAAAAAAUAGGUGUAGAAAGAUGUGCUCAGUUUAUGAUUUUCUAUUCAUGAACAACUAAUUAAACAUUGACCAGCAACAGUAAAUAGGUGUAGAAAGAAGUUUCUUACCAUGAAUAACUGUGCUGCUGUUAUAAUGGUUCUAUGCUGUUGUUACAAUGGUUCUAAGUCAUACAGUCUAAAUGUUAUCACACAGUGAGAUAAAUAAACUGACACUUUACUAACCUUCCGUGUAUAUCUAUAUGGCCUCAAUCUCCUGUUUACAGUGAAAUGGAAGAUAACUAAUCAACAAAGGAAGGUCCUGCAACUGAAGUUUGCCACACUUUUAGUUUUAUAUAUCUACUCUAAUGAUCAUCAUAUAUUUGGAUCGGUAUUCUAAACUACCCAACUAUAGUAUUCGAUAGUCAUGAAAUCCGGUUAUGAAUUGUAAUGCAUGGGUCUGUAAUGUAUGGUCGAACAGAAUCAUAAUAGCUAUGGUAGCUGUGCACGCAAUGAAAGCUCGUGCAAUCUAUGACUACACAGAACUUUGAUGGUUGCAAUGGCCAUAGAACUUGUUUUAUGUGUGAAUGUUUAAUGAUUUGUUCUAGGUA
This is a long non-coding RNA of Sorghum bicolor (sorghum), 1676 nucleotides long. RefSeq lists it as uncharacterized. NCBI's taxonomy places the organism in Eukaryota, Viridiplantae, Streptophyta, Magnoliopsida, Poales, Poaceae. The record is from RefSeq and is a predicted model, not a curated record. The transcript has 2 exons.